Molecule: microRNA, 24 nt
Filed under: Medicago truncatula (barrel medic)
Lineage: Eukaryota; Viridiplantae; Streptophyta; Magnoliopsida; Fabales; Fabaceae
Description: mtr-miR5271d
Source: miRBase by way of RNAcentral
CGGAUAAUUGUGGUUACUAACGGU